GGAGAUUGAAAGAGCUUUCUGAAACAUCAAGAAUCGUCGAAAUCCGAUAAGAAUUGAAUUUACUACGAAUUUUACAAGACAGCUGAUUUAUGAGAAUAAAGCCCUGCGAAUUUUUGUAAUAAAAACGAAUAGAAGGUUGGGUGGCUCUCAAAAGUGUAUAUAAAAGAAUGGAGGAAUACAAUCAAUAUAUACAGUCUUGAAACCCUAAUUCUAA
This 214-nucleotide long non-coding RNA is filed under the name Daucus carota (carrot). RNAcentral describes it as "long non-coding RNA (DCAR_LNC007091)". The record is from RNAcentral. Lineage: Eukaryota; Viridiplantae; Streptophyta; Magnoliopsida; Apiales; Apiaceae.